CCAAUUGAGCACUGCCAUUUCGGCGAUUCUGAACCCCUAGAGAGUUUGGUGUUUGGAUUCCGGGAAAAUGGUGAUAAUUUUCUAGGAAAAU
Molecule: long non-coding RNA, 91 nt
Organism: Populus euphratica (Euphrates poplar)
Lineage: Eukaryota; Viridiplantae; Streptophyta; Magnoliopsida; Malpighiales; Salicaceae
Exons: 3
Source: RefSeq, a predicted model, not a curated record